UACGUAGGUGGCAAGCGUUGUCCGGAAUUAUUGGGCGUAAAGCGCGCGCAGGCGGUCUCUUAAGUCUGAUGUGAAAGCCCACGGCUCAACCGUGGAGGGUCAUUGGAAACUGGGGGACUUGAGUACAGAAGAGAAGAGUGGAAAUCCACGUGUAGCGGUGAAAUGCGUAGAGAUGUGGAGGAACACCAGUGGCGAAGGCGACUCUUUGGUCUGUAACUGACGCUGAGGCGCGAAAGCGUGGGGAGCAAACAGG
RNAcentral lists this ribosomal RNA (253 nucleotides) under uncultured bacterium. RNAcentral's name for it is "partial 16S ribosomal RNA". It matches the Rfam family "Bacterial small subunit ribosomal RNA", at positions 524 to 776 of the family's 1533-position model. The record is from RNAcentral.